Molecule: long non-coding RNA, 1523 nt
Organism: Gallus gallus (chicken)
Lineage: Eukaryota; Metazoa; Chordata; Aves; Galliformes; Phasianidae
Exons: 2
Source: RefSeq, a predicted model, not a curated record
UUAGCAGAAGGUAGAACAUCUCUUGCUAUGCAACUGAUAGCGAAGUGCCUUUACGGCAAUCAUGUCAGUGGCUUGUUUGCCUCCAUUUUGUAACGCCCAGAAGGGAGAAAUAAUUUGAGCCAUUGGAUUAUGAUUUUUUUGUUUUUCUUUAAUUUGCGUCUUUAAAUUACAAUUUAAAUUAUACUUAGUGAAGGCCAACACAAAGAGAUAGAUAUCUUUGGAACGAUAAAAAUACUUUUCUGAGUUUUGUAGUAUUCAGGGGAGCGGAAAGACAAAAGCACACACGUGGACUUCAAGAACCUAAACUGCUGUGUCACUUCCAUGCUGGGAAGUUCAUCUCUCCAUUUGCUCUGAAGCCAACAGAAGAGAGGCACCAGGAAACCUCAGAGCCCCAAAUUGCUCCAGCUGCAGGGAGCGCAAUCGCCCCAUCUCUCCAUUGAGUACAAGGGGUCCCAGGAGGGGAUCCUAACUUUGCUUCUUGUAACACGUGAAACGAGGCAGUUUGACCCCACAAAGUCAAAUACGUGUCAUCUAACUUGCCACAGUGGGUCUCCCAUCCUUAAGCUGACUGACUUUAAAGAGGCAUUUGCUCUAGAAGUCUCACUGUGGCCGAGCAUCAGCAGUCACUGAAGCACAGUCCUUGACACCUGUGGGUCCUGUACUAAGUAAGUGUCUCCUGAAAACAUCUUCCUGAUUUGAGCCAUUGUAAGAACUGUUUUCAUUUCAAUUUUUUUUAUUAUUUUUUUAACCUGGAAAAAAAUCAAUACAUUAACAGUUACUGUGAGGGAAAAUUAAUUUAUUAAUAUUUACAAACCUUUUAAAUUGGCUUAUUUACUAGAUACUGCUCUGGGAAAACACAUUUAGUGAUGUCAAUUUAUGGAGGCCACAGUUUUUGUAUUUCCAUCUGAAUUAUUCACAUCGGUCAAUGCAGUCAUCAUCUUUAUAGCUGUGGUUUGACAUUGAUCAGAUGGAUUUCCAGGGUUCUUUUUUCUUGUUGACCCUAAGGGGAGCUUACAGUGACUUACUGCAGUACAGAAGUCUGUAUUUUAGCUAUCAAAAGCUAUUUGCAAAGAACCACAUCUUCCAUAGCACUUUUCAUGACAUUUUGCUGUUCUGUCACAUGGGAUCUCUUGCUUGGUGUCUGUAUUAGUGACAACCUAAUGGAAGUUUUUAGAAGUUUCUGAAGUAUUUUUUUGUUUUCUUGGUUUAUGAAAGCAGAUACAAAUGGUGAGUUUGGUGGUAAUACAAGUAGGACAUUAAUUCAUUUUUCUCUUCACCUUUUAGGCACCAACACUUCCGUUAGUGGAAGCUGAGGGACUCCAGAAUGGUGACCAAUAAAUACUCUAUAACACUGCAUAUUAUUUUCUCCCAAGUAGAACUCUACUGCAGUCACAUUGUUAAGCCCAUGGACAAACCAGCAAUCUCCGCAAUUAGAGGUUAAACAGGAGCAGGUUUACAGAGCUGCCAAAACAGAAGAACAUGUGGAAUUAAUACAGUGCCAGUAAAGGAAAACGCUGAAUGAA